GGUGCAGAGUUUCAUGCAUGAAUUUCAAAAUAAUUUUGAAAUAUAACACAGCGGAAUACGUAAAUUAAAUAAUUUAAUUUAUAAAUAUAUGUAAUCAAAUUACUAAACCCUAUAAUUAGGAUCUAUAACAUAUCAUAUUAUAUUUAUAAAUUAAAAAAAUAAAAGCUUUGAUAUUGAUCAAAUCAAUAUCCUAGAUCUAAAACAGUUUUAGAUCUAAAACCU
RNAcentral lists this long non-coding RNA (222 nucleotides) under Elaeis guineensis (African oil palm). RNAcentral describes it as "long non-coding RNA (EGUI_LNC003146)". The record is from RNAcentral. Lineage: Eukaryota; Viridiplantae; Streptophyta; Magnoliopsida; Arecales; Arecaceae.